Small nuclear RNA from Cavia porcellus (domestic guinea pig), 108 nucleotides. Lineage: Eukaryota; Metazoa; Chordata; Mammalia; Rodentia; Caviidae. The record is from Ensembl.
GUGCUGGCUUCGGCAGCACAUAUACUAAAAUUGGAACAAUACAGAGAAGGUUAGCAUAGCCCCUGCGCAAAGGAUGACACACAAGUUUGUGAAGCGUCCCAUAUUAAA